This 1327-nucleotide long non-coding RNA is filed under the name Marmota monax (woodchuck). The record is from RNAcentral. Lineage: Eukaryota; Metazoa; Chordata; Mammalia; Rodentia; Sciuridae.
UUCAAAGAUUUUGAGCCAUAGCUCUGUAAUUUAUAGAGAUGUCUAGAAUUUUUAUUCUUGUGAUUUUCCUACUUCUUUGACAAAAGAAAAAUUUGUCAGAGUAUUUUAAUUCCAACAUCAAACAUAAUGUUGAAACAAUCUGAUUAGCUGUGACUAACUUGAAAGUCCCUGAACACCUUACUAGUUAUGCUCUAGGUUAGAGGCACUGGUUGGGGCCAGUGGAUGAGGACCAGCCUGUCACGCACCAGUGGAUGAGGACCAGUCUGUUACAUACCCGUGGUGGCCUUUGCUGGCAGGGUCUGCCUUGAAGACCCUAGUCUCUAGAAUUUGGUUAAAAUAAAUUCUAAAGUUUUUUUGCUGAAUAUAAAAUAUCACUCAGCAUUCAAAACCAACACUAGUUUUAAUUUUUCAAUCCCAGAAGUUCAGAGCAAAUAACUCCCAUCCUAAUUUCAUUUGAAGAUUGCUAUUUAUUGAUCAGUUUUACUUCCACAUCCCAAGUCUGGCACAUAGGGGAGCAGCCAUAAAUGUUGCUCUGAACUAAAGCCUCUGGGCACAACUUUAAAGCAUAUAAAGGCAGCACAUCAGAGUGAGACACCCUACUGUGCAAGAUCUGGAAGCCCCAAGGGGAGGGAUUUGAUGACUGACUAGAGAAGCCCCAGAGAAUGGCAGGGUGGGAGUGUUGAGGUGGAACCCUGUGGGUGAACGCUGAGGUCAUCAGUAUGGUUCAUAGCCAGAGCUUUCUUGUGCUGCGGACUCCACUAUAACUGGCUCUCCGCUAAUUGUCUCUUGCCCUAAAAGCAGGUUUCUAGAAAGAGGACUGGGGCUGCUGCUCAAUGCCAUUGUCUGUGUGUGGCCAGGUGUCUGGAACUGACCACAAGUGAGAAAAGCAGAAACUUCCCAGAGGGAUUCCCUCCAGGAGCACACUGGGUCCUGGGCUGUCCAGGUGGCUGUGGGAUGCACUUGGGCACUGCCCACGGCUGCCCAGAUUCAAACAUCAUAUAUAUGGAUUCCUACUGGAGAACUGGGAGAUUCAGAUGCAAAGCCAGGAUUGAGGGCCACAAAAGUACACACACUUGAGGUUCCUUCCAGGCUUGUGGAACUGUGAUUAGCACAGUGAGGACUGCUACCCACCCAGCCUUCCCCUGGCUGUGGCCAGCAGCCUGCCUCAGGAGGAAGGUGGGUUUUCUUUCACUGGGUGUGACCAUAGGAAACCCUUGCAAAUGAGUAGUUCUCUGUGUGUCGCAGCCCUGCAGAUUUUUGGUGCCAUUCUCUCUAAAGAACCUCAGGUGUGCUUAGCAACUCAGACGUCAAAAAUUGCAGUGACCUG